This 497-nucleotide ribosomal RNA is filed under the name uncultured bacterium. Its description in RNAcentral is "partial 16S ribosomal RNA". It matches the Rfam family "Bacterial small subunit ribosomal RNA", at positions 28 to 507 of the family's 1533-position model. The record is from RNAcentral.
GAUGAACGCUGGCGGCGUGCCUAAUACAUGCAAGUCGAGCGAACGGACGAGAAGCUUGCUUCUCUGAUGUUAGCGGCGGACGGGUGAGUAACACGUGGAUAACCUACCUAUAAGACUGGGAUAACUUCGGGAAACCGUAGCUAAUACCGGAUAAUAUUUUGAACCGCAUGGUUCAAAAGUGAAAGACGGUCUUGCUGUCACUUAUAGAUGGAUCCGCGCUGCAUUAGCUAGUUGGUAAGGUAACGGCUUACCAAGGCAACGAUGCAUAGCCGACCUGAGAGGGGGAUCGGCGACACUGGAGCUGAGCCGCGGUCCAGACUCCUAGGGGAGGCAGCAGUAGGGAAUCUUCCGAGAUGGGCGGAAGCCUGACGGAGCAGCGCCGCGUGAGUGAUGAAGGUCUUCGGAUCGUAAAACUCUGUUAUUAGGGAAGAACAUAUGUGUAAGUAACUGUGCACAUCUUGACGGUACCUAAUCAGAAAGCCACGGCUAACUACGUG